Molecule: ribosomal RNA, 253 nt
Filed under: uncultured bacterium
Lineage: Bacteria
Description: partial 16S ribosomal RNA
Rfam family: Bacterial small subunit ribosomal RNA
Source: RNAcentral
UACGGAGGGGGCAAGCGUUAUUCGGAAUUAUUGGGCGUAAAGGGCGCGUAGGCGGCUAGAUGUGUCAAAGGUGAAAUCCCUCGGCUCAACUGAGGAACUGCCUUUGAAACUGUCUGGCUUGAGGCCGGGAGAGGAUAGCGGAAUUCCCAGUGUAGCGGUGAAAUGCGUAGAUAUUGGGAGGAACACCAGUGGCGAAGGCGGCUACCUGGACCGGUUCUGACGCUGAGGCGCGAAAGCGUGGGUAGCAAACAGG